CUGUAAUCUAAAUAGAGUAAAAGCAGAUAUCCAAUUGACAUUUAUUUUGUGAGAUUGGAGCACACCUUAAACACGAUUAACUAUGACUUCAUCCCAAAUUUUUGCUCAUAAAUUUAGCGGCCACUCCAAGAACAAGACUCAUUCGGAAAAUUGAGAGUUUCCGUUGAUUUGAAUCUGACAUUUGUAGUCGAAUGCUGCACAUGCUGAUCGGUAGAGUUGAAAAGAUUUUCCAUGUCACAACUCAUUGAGUGCACAGAAUGCCAAAGCCGCAGCAAAUCAAUGUGACAUCCGCACCACUAGAUCAUGAGCAACGGCUCGAAUGAAAUUUGGACCAAUUGUGGAAAAUGGAAAUGUCCAUGUAGUGGAAGAGCAGGCGGACAAUCCGCCGCAUCAACGGCCUUCCAUUAUCAUCAGCAUCAACUCUAACGAUGCUUCAAGCCACCGGGGGAAAUAUCACUUUGGCGUAAUUAUCUGUUAAUUGCCAUUUAAUGUACUGGGCUGGCCUGGACAGUUCUGGGGACGCGUGUCAGUGAUGUACCGCCCCCAGCCGCCUCGGCUUCUCCCUCCGUCAAGGUCGUUUAGUGCGCCGGGUGCGUGUUUAUGAUGAGCUCAUAGUGUACACAUGUUCUGGUCUGGGGAAGUGCACCUGCUACCAGUUUGUUUUGCAUUUCAAUUGUCACACAGCACCGUGGAACGUGCAUAAAGAAUGGUA
This 712-nucleotide long non-coding RNA is filed under the name Drosophila guanche. Lineage: Eukaryota; Metazoa; Arthropoda; Insecta; Diptera; Drosophilidae. The record is from RNAcentral.